RNAcentral lists this ribosomal RNA (915 nucleotides) under Escherichia coli. RNAcentral describes it as "partial 23S ribosomal RNA". It matches the Rfam family "Bacterial large subunit ribosomal RNA", at positions 235 to 1191 of the family's 2925-position model. Lineage: Bacteria; Pseudomonadati; Pseudomonadota; Gammaproteobacteria; Enterobacterales; Enterobacteriaceae. The record is from RNAcentral.
UUCCCCCAGUAGCGGCGAGCGAACGGGGAGGAGCCCAGAGCCUGAAUCAGUGUGUGUGUUAGUGGAAGCGUCUGGAAAGGCGCGCGAUACAGGGUGACAGCCCCGUACACAAAAAUGCACAUGCUGUGAGCUCGAUGAGUAGGGCGGGACACGUGGUAUCCUGUCUGAAUAUGGGGGGACCAUCCUCCAAGGCUAAAUACUCCUGACUGACCGAUAGUGAACCAGUACCGUGAGGGAAAGGCGAAAAGAACCCCGGCGAGGGGAGUGAAAAAGAACCUGAAACCGUGUACGUACAAGCAGUGGGAGCCUCUUUAUGGGGUGACUGCGUACCUUUUGUAUAAUGGGUCAGCGACUUAUAUUCUGUAGCAAGGUUAACCGAAUAGGGGAGCCGAAGGGAAACCGAGUCUUAACUGGGCGUUAAGUUGCAGGGUAUAGACCCGAAACCCGGUGAUCUAGCCAUGGGCAGGUUGAAGGUUGGGUAACACUAACUGGAGGACCGAACCGACUAAUGUUGAAAAAUUAGCGGAUGACUUGUGGCUGGGGGUGAAAGGCCAAUCAAACCGGGAGAUAGCUGGUUCUCCCCGAAAGCUAUUUAGGUAGCGCCUCGUGAAUUCAUCUCCGGGGGUAGAGCACUGUUUCGGCAAGGGGGUCAUCCCGACUUACCAACCCGAUGCAAACUGCGAAUACCGGAGAAUGUUAUCACGGGAGACACACGGCGGGUGCUAACGUCCGUCGUGAAGAGGGAAACAACCCAGACCGCCAGCUAAGGUCCCAAAGUCAUGGUUAAGUGGGAAACGAUGUGGGAAGGCCCAGACAGCCAGGAUGUUGGCUUAGAAGCAGCCAUCAUUUAAAGAAAGCGUAAUAGCUCACUGGUCGAGUCGGCCUGCGCGGAAGAUGUAACGGGGCUAAACCAUG